RNAcentral lists this ribosomal RNA (1302 nucleotides) under Bessa parallela. RNAcentral describes it as "eukaryotic LSU rRNA". It matches the Rfam family "Eukaryotic large subunit ribosomal RNA", at positions 142 to 1219 of the family's 3401-position model. The record is from RNAcentral. Lineage: Eukaryota; Metazoa; Arthropoda; Insecta; Diptera; Tachinidae.
GAUGCAGUGUAUGGUAUGUCGAUUAUCUAGUAUGAGAAAUUAACGAUUUAAGUCCUUCUUAAAUGAGGCCAUUUACCCAUAGAGGGUGCCAGGCCCGUAUAACGUUAAUGAUUAUUAGACGGCAUUUCCAAAGAGUCGUGUUGCUUGAUAGUGCAGCACUAAGUGGGUGGUAAACUCCAUCUAAAACUAAAUAUAACCAUGAGACCGAUAGUAAACAAGUACCGUGAGGGAAAGUUGAAAAGAACUCUGAAUAGAGAGUUAAAUAGUACGUGAAACUGCUUAGAGGUUAAACCCGAUGAACCUGAAUAUCCCAUAUAGAAAAUUCAUCAUUAUGAUUGUUGUAUAUUAUUCGUAAGAAUUAUACAUAUAAUAAUGGUGUGCAUUUUUUCUAUAUAAGGACAUUGUAAUCUAUUAACAUAAUAAAAUAUUUAUCAAAAGAUCAUGUGCAACGGUUUAAUCAAAUUAUUUUGCUUUCGGGCAAUUUAACAUAGGUUAAUCGCACGUGAUUUGAUAAAGUGUUGAUAGAUUUAUAUGAAAUAUAGUGCUUGAAUAAUAUAUAAUUCUAUAAUAUCAUAAUAAUUAAUAAUUUUUAUGUUUAUUAUAUGCACAUGUAUGAUUAACAAUGCGAAAGAUUCAGGAUACCUUCGGGACCCGUCUUGAAACACGGACCAAGGAGUCUAACAUAUUUGCAAGUUAUUGGGAAUUUUUUGUAAUACAAAGCCUAAUAGCGAAAUUAACAUAACACAAUUAUAUGGGAUUAGUUUUUAGUACUAUAAAUUAGUCUAUUAAUUCAAUCCCGGGGCGUUCUAUAUGGUUAUGUAUAAUAAUAUUUAUAUUAUUUAUAUCUCUAACCGGAGCGUACCUUGAGCAUAUAUGCUGUGACCCGAAAGAUGGUGAACUAUACUUGAUCAGGUUGAAGUCAGGGGAAACCCUGAUGGAAGACCGAAACAGUUCUGACGUGCAAAUCGAUUGUCAGAAUUGAGUAUAGGGGCGAAAGACCAAUCGAACCAUCUAGUAGCUGGUUCCCUCCGAAGUUUCCCUCAGGAUAGCUGGUGCAUUGAAAACUUAUGUAAAAUAAUCUUAUCUGGUAAAGCGAAUGAUUAGAGGCCUUAGGGUCGAAACGAUCUUAACCUAUUCUCAAACUUUAAAUGGGUAAGAACCUCACCUUUCUUGGUAUGAAGGUAGUGGUUGUGAUAUAAUGUGCCCAGUGGGCCACUUUUGGUAAGCAGAACUGGCGCUGUGGGAUGAACCAAACGUAAUGUUACGGUGCCCAAAUUAACAACUCAUGCAGAUACCAUGAAA